RNA transcript from Odobenus rosmarus divergens (Pacific walrus), 932 nucleotides. RefSeq lists it as uncharacterized. Lineage: Eukaryota; Metazoa; Chordata; Mammalia; Carnivora; Odobenidae. The transcript has 2 exons. The record is from RefSeq and is a predicted model, not a curated record.
GAGGAAGAAACCAAAUUUAUUGAAGGAAAUCUCAGUUUACUUGCAAACUCAGAGUCACAGCUUCCUGCAUCUGAUCAGCUUCCAUUCUUUCUUUAACAUUUCAAUUUCAGUGCCCAGAAUACAAUUAUCUCCAUCUCAAUCACUAGUUGAAUGUUCUUUUUCGUUUGCUUAUUUUUUAAUUUGAAAUAGUUACACAUGCACAUGCAAAGUGAAUUUAAAGAGUGUAGAAAAGUACAAGGGAAAUAAGUCAUAAAUCAACCUUUGGAAUAUAUAAAAAGUCUAAUAAUUGAUUUGAUAAUGGUAGCACAUAUGUGCCAGGCACCAUGCAAAGCUCUUUGCAUCCAUUUUCUCACUGACUUCUCUCAAUAAUCUUAUGAGAUCAGUACUGUUAUCACUCUCAUUUUAUUCUAUUUUAUUUUUAUUUAUUUUUUUAAGUAGGCUCCACACCUGGCAUGGAGCCCAACACAGGGCCCAAACUCACAACCCUGAGACCAAGACCUGAGCUGAGAUUAAGAGUCAGAUGGUUUACCAACUGGGCCCCCCAGGUGCCCCAUCACUCUCAUUUUAAUGAUGAGGGAACUGAGGCUCAAAGAGAUUAAGAAAUUUGAUCAAAAUCUCUCAGCUAGUGAGUGAUAGAAUCCUAUCUUGAACCAAAUCUGUCUGACCCCAAAUCCCAUGUUCCAAAAAUGAUACUAAAGGUGUGAGCUAUUCACCACCAUUAUCAUCUCAGAUUCAUCUUUUCAACCAUAUGCCUUGUGACCUAGCUUAACCAUGUAACUAAAAAUCCAUCUAUUAGGAGUCUUUAUUGUGGGCAGGACCAAACAUCUUGUUAGAGAUCUUCAUAGCUUAGCUUGUACAAUUCAUUCCUUGAGUUUGACCAAUCCAUUUCUCCAAUUUGUAGGAAACAAGGAAAACUGAGCUGGGGAUUUCUU